RNAcentral lists this ribosomal RNA (460 nucleotides) under uncultured bacterium. RNAcentral's name for it is "partial 16S ribosomal RNA". It matches the Rfam family "Bacterial small subunit ribosomal RNA", at positions 338 to 795 of the family's 1533-position model. The record is from RNAcentral.
CCUACGAGGGGCAGCAGUGAGGAAUAUUGGGCAAUGGACGAGAGUCUGAACCAGCCAAGUCGCGUGAAGGAUGACUGCACUAUGGGUUGUAAACUUCUUUUAUAUGGGAAUAAAAUGUUCCACGUGUGGGCUUUUGUAUGUACCAUAAGAAUAAGGAUCGGCUAAAUCCGUGCCAGCAGCCGCGGUAAUACGGAGGAUCCGAGCGUUAUCCGGAUUUAUUGGGGUUAAAGGGAGCGUAGGUGGAUUGUUAAGUCAGUUGUGAAAGUUUGGGGUUCAACCGUGAAAUUGCAGUUGAAACUGGCAGUCUUGAGUACAGGAGAGGUAGGCGGAAUUCGUGGUGUAGCGGUGAAAUGCUUAGAUAGCACGAAGAACUCCGAUUGCGAAGGCAGCUCACUGGACUGCAACUGACACUGAGGCUCGAAAGUGUGGGUAUCAAACAGGAUUAGAUACCCUAGUAGUC